GACGAACGCUGGCGGCGUGCUUAACACAUGCAAGUCGAACGGUGAAGCGCCUUCCUUUUUGGUGGGUGUGGAUGAGUGGCGAACGGGUGAGUAACACGUGAGUAACCUGCCCCCUUCUUCUGGAUAACCGCAUGAAAGUGUUGCUAAUACGGGAUAUUCUGGGUCUGUCGCAUGAUGGGUCUGGGAAAGAUAUUGUUUCGGUGGGGGAUGGGCUCGCGGCCUAUCAGCUUGUUGGUGGGGUGAUGGCCUACCAAGGCGGUGACGGGUAGCCGGCCUGAGAGGGUGGACGGUCACACUGGGACUGAGACACGGCCCAGACUCCUACGGGAGGCAGCAGUGGGGAAUAUUGGACAAUGGGCGCAAGCCUGAUGCAGCGACGCCGCGUGAGGGAUGGAGGCCUUCGGGUUGUGAACCUCUUUCGCCAGUGAAGCAGGCCUGCCUCGUUUGUGGGUGGGUUGACGGUAGCUGGAUAAGAAGCGCCGGCUAACUACGUG
Molecule: ribosomal RNA, 494 nt
Filed under: uncultured bacterium
Lineage: Bacteria
Description: partial 16S ribosomal RNA
Rfam family: Bacterial small subunit ribosomal RNA
Source: RNAcentral